Molecule: long non-coding RNA, 1891 nt
Filed under: Zea mays
Lineage: Eukaryota; Viridiplantae; Streptophyta; Magnoliopsida; Poales; Poaceae
Description: long non-coding RNA (ZMAY_LNC005592)
Source: RNAcentral
GACUUGCGAGUUGAGACAUCGAAGAAGGAAGCCACGCCAGGAUGCACAGGCGGUAGCCGGUAGGACACCAAAAAAAAUCGAUCACCAAAUCUCACAUGCGAGACAUAGGACGCACAGACGAUUUGACGAACAAUUUUCCUUUGUCGCAAUUGUUUUCAGGCACCGAUGACAGAUCUACUUCGAUAUCUUUCUAGUUUUUUAUAUCAAGGAAAAGGGACAGAUGAAUUGUCCUCACACAAAUGAAAAAACAAGGUGAGCUGUUACAAUUCAGUCGCAGAUGAAAAAACAGAUGAGCUGUACACAUUUUUUAGAUCGAGGAAGAGGGACAGUUUGUGUCCUGGAGGCAGCAACUUUUCUAUCAUCACACAUAAGGCCUGGUUCGUUUAGACCAAACCAAGCUUGGUUUGGUUUGGAUUGGGAUUUAGUUCAGUCCACAAUCCAAACCCAAAACAAUCCAGUAUUGUUAUAUUUUUUCUCUUCAUUUAAACCUGUUCGGGUUUCUAGCCCAGGACUUGGAUUUUUUUACCUGUGUAGCUCCUGGAUCAGAACCAUACCCCAUUCGUUCUAGAAAAAUUCCGACUCCAAACUCACGUCGACGCACACAACCGAGAAGAUGAGGUGUGGGUGAGCGGUGGUCGCGACGGCGACCUCUACUACGCUGGCAGCUUUCUCUCCGGUUGGUCCCUCUCUCUUUUGUUAGUUAGGGUUCUUGGAUCGAGUCCUUCUACUCACGCGCCGUACGUGCGUGCCGCUCACUCGUAGAUCCGGUGACGAUUCCUCCCCUGCGCGUGGGUGGUGAAAUUCUCCCUCCGCAUUCCAAAUCUUCCGUCUCGCCGCUGGGAUUUGAUUUAAGGCGAGGCGAGGUGAUGUGAGAUGAGAUGCCUCGCACGAACGCCUGUUGGACUAGGGAGAUGAGACGAUUCAUGCAAGAUUUGUUCCUGCUGCUGUCUUCCUCCUGCUACCAAGUGGCUUCUUGGGGGCAGGCAAGGAAUUAAGCUUGUAAAUCCCUGGAAUUUGAAGAACAAACAUUUGAAAUCAAAAGAAAAAAACAGCUCUCUUCGCUACCAACUUUAGAAGCAGGACAUCAAAUUCCAAAUUGGCUGACGGAUUCUUGCUUUACAUACACAAUAACACAAUACAUGCGCCUGUCUGUUGUGCCUUGCACUUAGUCACUGGUUGUUGCUGUUGGGGCAUCAGUUCCUUGUGGAGCUUUUACUUGCUUUAGCUUUCUAUUUCUGCUUGCUUUGUUUUUUUUAUUAUCACUGCUAGAAGCAUUUAACUGCACAACUGCAGGCUUCGACUCUAGAGAAUUUAACUGUUAAGAACAAUUAUCACCAAUUUUGAUUUAGUAACCAAUUAGCAGACUUAUGCAAUUUUGACUUGGUAAUAGUUAGCACCAGUUUAAUUAUCUAACAGCAUGCUGAUUUUUUAGAUUGUCCCUACUCCAAUAAAAGUCGGCGAGGACACUUUUGAGUGUGAAUUUGAAAUUCACUGCUUCAACUUGUUUCUAUGUAUAGCAAAAUCUAUAUGUAGGAUACUUUUGAGUUUUCUUGAUCAACAUUAAUUUUACAAAUACAAUGUCAUUCAUUUCCAGAACAUCAAAAUUUAGUUGCUGAAAUGAGCUUAUGUAAGUAUGUUUGUCAGUGUGGCUUCUGUUAAAAGAUAUUUCAAUUAUGAACCUACGAGUUAAUUUAUUAUUCUGAUCAAUUGCAGUUGGUGCAUAUGUUGUGAAACUCACCUCUGUUGACUUGGAGAAGGCUUUAUAUAAAUCUUAGCAUAUCUCCGUGAACUCUUGGUGGUCUUAUUGGUGGACAAGAACUGUAGUAAUUGAUUUGCAAUAGAUGAAUAAUUAGUAGCAACCUAGAAUUGUAUGACAUGUUUAAAUUUCUAG